Molecule: ribosomal RNA, 303 nt
Filed under: uncultured bacterium
Lineage: Bacteria
Description: partial 16S ribosomal RNA
Rfam family: Bacterial small subunit ribosomal RNA
Source: RNAcentral
AGCAGUAGCCACGGUAAUACGUAGGGUGCAAGCGUUAAUCGGAUUUACUGGGCGUAAAGCGUGCGUAGGCGGCUUUUUAAGUCGGAUGUGAAAUCCCUGAGCUUAACUUAGGAAUUGCAUUCGAUACUGGGAAGCUAGAGUAUGGGAGAGGAUGGUAGAAUUCCAGGUGUAGCGGUGAAAUGCGUAGAGAUCUGGAGGAAUACCGAUGGCGAAGGCAGCCAUCUGGCCUAAUACUGACGCUGAGGUACGAAAGCAUGGGGAGCAAACAGGAUUAGAUACCCGAGUAGUCCCUGUCUCUUAUAA